UGGGUCUUGGGGAUCACUAGCUUGGGUGGAGCCAGCAGCCAUGCCAUGAGGACACUCAAGCAGCUCUGGAAGAAGUCCACUUGAAGAGGACACAGGCUUGCUGCCACUUCCCAGCCAUGUGCUUUAACCUCCUUGGGAACACAUCCUUCAUCUCAAGGGAAACUUCAGUUUUUGCUUUGAAGACCUUCAACUAAUUGGAUGAGGACCACCCACCCUCUGGAAGACUCUGUGGAUUGCCGCCCAUCGGUCCAGGCUUCCCGGGUGCUUUUCAGAGCGAGGGUCUUCUGUUGGUCGACCACCACAUAGUCCACUCUCUCGUCGGCUACACUGCUGCCUGAGCCGCUGCUCUUUUGCUAAAAAGCAAAGGAAAAAUCCCGGGCUGUACAAUAGAAGGACUACUGUCUAAGAAAAGAAAAAGAAAAAGGGAAGACAGAGGAAGCACUAAACAACAAGAACAAAAAAGCCUGAGGCAGAAAAAUGAAGAAAAGAAAUAGGCUAUUAGGACCAUGACGAUCAAUGCUAAGCAAAAAGGAAAGGAUGAUGUGAAUUUAUAUCCCUGCAUACACCCUCUACUCUGAUUACGACAGCUUUCAAAUGUGCUCCAAUAAAUGAUUUGUUCCUAGGC
This is a long non-coding RNA of Odocoileus virginianus texanus, 625 nucleotides long. RefSeq lists it as uncharacterized. Lineage: Eukaryota; Metazoa; Chordata; Mammalia; Artiodactyla; Cervidae. The record is from RefSeq and is a predicted model, not a curated record.